GACAACCACAGCACAUUGUGGUGGAGAGGACAAAUGUCUCUUCUCUUUGGCGUUCUUAUGAACAAGAGUUUAUACAGUACUAAAAAGGCCAGGGUUGCAGUGCAGAGUUAGUAUUAAAGGAAUGGAAGAGAAAAGAGAUGUUACCAAAGAAAUGCAAGCUCUGACCAGAUGCUCUGAAACAAGAGGACAUCCACCAGCAGCUCAGAAUAAAGCAAUGGACUAUCAACCACACCAGAGGAGGUGGGAGUAAUAUCUGAAUCUCAGAAAGAACUCAGCAUACACUCAAGGAGGCAACAUGGAUGGUUGGGCAGAAGGGCAAUGAUCUGACAGUGAUCUAAGUAACUUUCCUAUUGAAAGCAGAUUGUCCUUCAGAUUUCAUGUUCAGGGGCCAAAACCAUAAACAAAAACACAACAAAGGUCUUCAGUGGGGGUAUGCCUUACUCCUUGAGAAUAUUUUUUUGAGAAGCCCACACCCAUGCUCUCAGAUGUGUCUUCUCAGGGCUUCCCCCGACCGCCUUGUAUAAACCAUCAUUAAAAUAUCUAUAUUGAACUGCAGCUGUUGUGAACAUAAUGUCAAAGCAUGUGCUAAACCACCUGUAGACUAACAGUAGUCUGUCUACAGGUAGACUGGAGGUGAAAUGGGAGCAAACCUGGUCUUAAAACUUCUGGCUCCCAUAUCAUAAGAAAGGAAGUAUCUUUAAUUCUUUUAAUCUACGUGGCUGGUAGUAUCUUGUUACACGUUUCGUGAUCACAGUCCCAUCAGACUAGUGUAUUACCUUCAGAAUGAAGAUUGAUGAAGAACUUGAGAAACUCUAUGGAUGAGCAUUGUGGAGAGAAGCUCCCUGACAAAAUGUGCCUUUCCCCGAGUAGCUCAAAACUGUUGGGAAGAGCUGGAAAUUAAAAUACAUGGACAACCAUCAGCCCUGCAUGAGCUUUUCUGCAGUCACAAUUUUCCUGACUAUUUAAGAUUGAACAGACUUUGGGCUACAGAGUUGUUGGCUCGUCAGUUAAGAGCAUAUGCUUUUGGGAAGGACCUGGGUUUGAUUUUCAGCACCUAUAUGGAGGCUCACCACCUUCACAGGCACCGGGCAUGCGUGUGGUGCGCAGACUUAUACACAGGUGCACAUUUAUACACUCAAUAUAAUAAAAUCUUUAAAAAAAUAAUUUAAAAACUUAAA
This 1178-nucleotide long non-coding RNA is filed under the name Rattus norvegicus (Norway rat). Its description in RNAcentral is "long non-coding RNA NONRATT001062". The record is from RNAcentral. Lineage: Eukaryota; Metazoa; Chordata; Mammalia; Rodentia; Muridae.